UGUGCACUUUUCUCUUAGUAAGACGCCGUGAUCCAUUAGAAAUUGAUNCAUUCAAAUGUAUAGUGGGUCAUCAAUAGACCAGCAUGAAGUUUAUCGGAACAAAUGGCAUGAUCUUUCACGGUCGUGUGUAUUGUCUGGUAAGCGUGCAUGACUGUCUGAUGGAUUUUAAAGAUUAUAUUAUUGAUGGCGCAAGCAUAUAUAUAUCUGAUCAACGGCGGUUAAAUUUGGGAUACCUUUUGGACCCGUCUUGAAACACGGACCAAGGAGUCUAUCUAGUAUGCGAGUAAAUGGGUAGCUUGAAACCUAUUUGCAUAAUAAACGUGACUGUUUUAUGUGUCUCUUCCAUCCCGGAGUAUUUUUAUCAACAUAUGCGCAAGUAUAUGGAAAAUAUAUCAUGAGCACACUGGAUACGACCCGAAAGAUGGUGAACUAUGCCUGAUCAGGUCGAAGUCAGGGGAAACCCUGAUGGAGGA
Molecule: ribosomal RNA, 473 nt
Filed under: Paratendipes sp. ES3PT1
Lineage: Eukaryota; Metazoa; Arthropoda; Insecta; Diptera; Chironomidae
Description: partial large subunit ribosomal RNA
Rfam family: Eukaryotic large subunit ribosomal RNA
Source: RNAcentral